This 577-nucleotide long non-coding RNA is filed under the name Monodelphis domestica (gray short-tailed opossum). Its description in RNAcentral is "lncRNA (ENSMODG00000049392.1)". Lineage: Eukaryota; Metazoa; Chordata; Mammalia; Didelphimorphia; Didelphidae. The record is from RNAcentral.
CUUCUAACUAUGUAAGUUCAUUUCCAUUCUUUAAGGAACAUUGGAUUAUUGGGACUAAAGUUGCAACAUAUUCUUCCAGGGAUAUGUUGCUAUUUCAAAUGUGACAUCUUAUCGGAAAGGAGAGAAUUCUCACUCUAAAAAAACCUAAUAUAACCCAUGCAAGUUUGUAAUGCAGUCCCUUUUAUUUACUUAAAAAAAAUCUGGAUAACAACCUUUUUUUUCCAUGCCGUACUCUAACCCUCCCAAAGAAGAUAAAUAUUUCAAAUAAUUGGAUUGGGAUACUUCACAGAGAGAUGGACCAUAAUCAGGCAACAGACUUCUGGUCAAUAAUCACAAAAUACUUCUGGAGUUCAAGAUUCCUACUUUUAAUGCUAAUGUUCUCCGGUUGACUAAUGAGCAGUUGGUAAACAAAUCACUGAGACAAUUUUGAAAUGUUAUUAUUUUCAGAUGGAUGUCAUCCACAUUGCUCUUUCUUCACCAUCAAUAUAACAAGUUCAAAAGUGACAUUUAGAAUUUCAUGAGAAUUCUAAAGAGGAAACCAAAGAUUAGACAUCAGACUAUGAAGAAAAGAAAUUAC